CCUACGGGGGGCAGCAGUGAGGAAUAUUGGUCAAUGGCCGGAAGGCUGAACCAGCCAAGCCGCGUGAAUGACGAAGGUGCCCAGCAUUGUAAACUUCUUUUGUCAAGGGACAAAAUCAGGCUCGAGAGCCUGACCGAGGGUACUUGAAGAAACAGCCUCGGCUAACACCGUGCCAGCAGCCGCGGUAAUCCGGGGGAUGCGAUCGUUAUCCGGAUUUAUGGGGUUGAAAGGGUGCGUAGGCGGACUGCUAAGUCAGCGGGAAAAGCCAGGGGCUCAACCCCGGCGCGCUGUUGAAACCGGCUGUCGUGAGAUGGCGAGAGGUAAGCGGAAUGCGCGGUGUAGCGGUGAAAUGCAUAGAUAUCGCGAAGAACUCCGAUUGCGAAGGCAGCAUGCCGG
RNAcentral lists this ribosomal RNA (396 nucleotides) under uncultured bacterium. Its description in RNAcentral is "partial 16S ribosomal RNA". It matches the Rfam family "Bacterial small subunit ribosomal RNA", at positions 338 to 732 of the family's 1533-position model. The record is from RNAcentral.